This 494-nucleotide ribosomal RNA is filed under the name uncultured bacterium. RNAcentral describes it as "partial 16S ribosomal RNA". It matches the Rfam family "Bacterial small subunit ribosomal RNA", at positions 28 to 507 of the family's 1533-position model. The record is from RNAcentral.
GACGAACGCUGGCGGCGUGCUUAACACAUGCAAGUCGAACGGUGAAGCGCCUUCCUUUUUGGUGGGUGUGGAUGAGUGGCGAACGGGUGAGUAACACGUGAGUAACCUGCCCCCUUCUUCUGGAUAACCGCAUGAAAGUGUGGCUAAUCCGGGAUAUUCUGGGUCUGUCGCAUGAUGGGUCUGGGAAAGAUAUUGUUUCGGUGGGGGAUGGGCUCGCGGCCUAUCAGCUUGUUGGUGGGGUGAUGGCCUACCAAGGCGGUGACGGGUAGCCGGCCUGAGAGGGUGGACGGUCACACUGGGACUGAGACACGGCCCAGACUCCUACGGGAGGCAGCAGUGGGGAAUAUUGCACAAUGGGCGCAAGCCUGAUGCAGCGACGCCGCGUGAGGGAUGGAGGCCUUCGGGUUGUGAACCUCUUUCGCCAGUGAAGCAGGCCUGCCUCGUUUGUGGGUGGGUUGACGGUAGCUGGAUAAGAAGCGCCGGCUAACUACGUG